GUUUUGUUUUCAUUGCUAACAGCACCCAGAAGUCAGCCGGGAGCUCAGAGAUUAUGCACUGCCUUUUGGAAGAGCAUUGCCCAGCAAAGAGCACCUCAGCGUGCAAGGCAGCGGUGCAGCCGUCGUUGCUGCUCAACAGGCUGUGGCCUCGUCCUCCUACAGGAGGAAAACCAUCUCUCUGCUAAUGAGAAGAGAAAAACUGACAUUGCAGGAUGAGAGUGCACAGGGAACUGCAGCAACGAGGCACAGCAACAUUGCUUUGCUAAAUCAAAAACAGCAUCAAAAAAGAGAAGUGGACAAAACCACAACCUGUGCUGGUGAUACAGAUUUGGCUAGUGCCGGUCCGAGUGAGCCUGCAUUCCCAGCUGUACCUCCACUACCAGCAGCACCAGUACCUGGCACCUGCCACCUCUGUGCUUUGAAUUGAGCUCUCCACCUCAGCAGUGUCACUCUGGGAACAGGGGCACCCAGAGGCAGAUUUGGGCACAGCCCAUCAGAGACGCAGGUUUGGACUGCAGCACUACCAGAGCUCCCACUUGGCCUGUAGUGCCCAGGAGGACCUUGGUGCCCUGCAGCACCCGCCCAGGGCAGCAGAGCCCAGCACCUACUGGCCCUGGUCCCCAGGGUCCCCUUGCAUACUGGGACAAGCCAGUCAGUGCCCACGUCCCCAGCACAGCUGAACCAUGAGGCAGGAAGCAUCUCCCACUGGGCACAGAGGAGGAGGAGUGCUGGGAGGAAGGAGGGCUGACCCCACACAGCGCUGUGUGCCUGGGACAAGGUGCCAGAGAGUGCAUCAUUGUGGGAGAUACCCGGUGAACACCAAGACAGCUAAUUUUAGCAGGAACAAUCAACACUCACCAGAAGAUAUCUGGAAACUCAUCCCUGGAUUCUCAGUGCAAGAGCAAGCACAACAGAGGCAGUGCCUGACCUCACACCAGCACGAGCAGAAGGGCCGAAACCAUCCUGCUGGUGGCGUGGACAGGGCAGCAGAAGGGUGGCUUCUUCCCAGCUGCUGCCACCUUCUCCCUCCCCGCUCCCCCCAGCGUUGCCAGACAGCGCCGGCCAGGUACCCGAAAAUGAAGGUUUGUUCUGCCACCAAUAGGCAGGCGCAGCAACACCAAGGUUUCUGGACUGGUGUUUAUGCUUCUUUAAACCAAUGCAAACUUCAGCUGAAAAAGGACAACGUAGCCAGGUUAAAAUGA
RNAcentral lists this long non-coding RNA (1202 nucleotides) under Anas platyrhynchos platyrhynchos (common mallard). Its description in RNAcentral is "lncRNA (ENSAPLG00000018962.1)". Lineage: Eukaryota; Metazoa; Chordata; Aves; Anseriformes; Anatidae. The record is from RNAcentral.